GUGCUCACUUCAGCAGCACAUAUACUAACAUUGGAACGAUACAGAUCAGAUUAGCACGGCCCCUG
Molecule: non-coding RNA, 65 nt
Organism: Erinaceus europaeus (western European hedgehog)
Lineage: Eukaryota; Metazoa; Chordata; Mammalia; Eulipotyphla; Erinaceidae
Source: Rfam